Molecule: unclassified non-coding RNA, 260 nt
Filed under: Hevea brasiliensis (rubber tree)
Lineage: Eukaryota; Viridiplantae; Streptophyta; Magnoliopsida; Malpighiales; Euphorbiaceae
Source: RNAcentral
UGACUACCUUGAUUGCUCAUCACUUAAUAAACCUGGGCGUCAGGAGUGGUUAGAAACCACUGAGGUAUUCAACCGCUGCGAUGCUACGCGCAAUAUAACCUUUGAGUUUGGAAUGUUUGGUGAUGCAAAUACUGAAAGAGUUACAUCUGCUAGCUUCUUUGAUCGAUAUUUUUACUGCCUAUGGUGGGGUUUAAAGAGCUUAAGUUCAUAUGCACAAAGUAUUACUACCAGCACUAACAUUGUUGAGACGCUCCUUUCUA